GCAUGCAGAAUUGGAGGGCUCAGUAGAUGUUUAUGUAGAGCAUCUCAGUGUAAAUGACUUAAGAAGGGAAUUUAGUAGAGGGAUUGAUGAAAUGCAAAACAAGGGUAAAGGUGUUGUGAUUGAGGAGAUUGAUGAGGAUGCUAAUAAUGCAGUUCCUGAGAAUAAUGUGCAAGAUGGAAAUAUAAAUGAUGGUGAGUUAGAUAAUGGGGAGGCAAGUAGGAUGACAACAACAUAUUUAAUUAAUAAUGGUGAGUUUGGUAUUUUAAGUCAGCAACAUAUUGAUGAGAUGGAGUUAGGUGAUUAUAAAGCUAAGGAUGGAGGGGGAAGUAAGGUUGAUGUAGGAGGGAAUGAGGUUAAGGGUGAUGUAAGGGGGAAUGAGGCAGAUGAAAUGGUUAAUGAGUUUGAGCAUGUAGAACAGGGUGAAUUUAUAAAUGAGCGUGGUGUUAAUGAAAAUGAAGAACAAGGUGAAAAUAGCCAUGCCAGCCCUGGUGUUAAAGAUAAUGUAGCUCAAAAUGAAAUAGUUAAAGAUACUUUUGAAAGAUUUAUAAUGUUAGCUUCUAAUUUUAAUGAUUUCUUUGAUACAAUAAUGGAAGGAACCAUGUAUGAUGAAGCUAUUGGUAAUGGAUAUGAUAAAGGUAGAGUUGAAGAGGGUGAUUGUAAUGACAACCCUACUGGGCCUAUUGACAGCCACACAGAGGUUAGGGUGGAAGAGGCAAACCACAGUGUCUAGAAACAAAGGCGAACUGAAGUUGAUCUAAUGGAUAAAAAUUAUGAUAUGGAUGAUGAUGAUGUUGAUCUGUAAGAUGUUUUGCAUGAAUUGGAUCAAAGAAAUAAAAUAAGGAUGAAAGGCAGGCCUUUGGGCAGUCAAGAGGGAGUUAGGUUAGCUGGUAUGGAUGCUUCUAUGUUGUUUGAAAAUGAUGAAUCAGAUUCUGAAUAUGCAACUUCUGAUGAAUUAUUUAGUGAAUCAACUUCAGAGGAUGAGGCACAUGUGAAGUAUUCUGAAUUUAAUUUUGCAAGGGAUAUUAAUGAUCCAAUUUUUAAAAUUGAGAUGGUGUUUGCAAAUAAUCAUGAGUUUAAAGAAGUGGUUAGCUUUACAUUAUCUUGAAAUAUCUAGGCAUGAUCCAGAUUGGAGUAUACGUAGGAUAAUUGCAAGAGUUAAAGCAUAUCAUAGCCUAACGAUUAAUCCUAUCAAAGCAUGGAGGGCAAGGGAAUUGGCUUUGCAGGCAAUAAAUGGGGAUCAGACUGAGCAGUAUGGCAAGUUACAUGAUUACAAAUUAGGGCUUUUAAGAACUAAUCCUGGAAAUACAGUGAUGUUCAAGAAGGAAAAGGGAAAGUUUCAAGGAGUGUAUAUUUGUUUGGCUGCAUUAAAAGCUAUUUUUAAGGAUGUUUGUAGACCUCUCGUUUGUCUUGAUGGCUACUGGUUGAAAGGGACUUGUGGGGGCUAGUUACUGUCAGUAGUUGGGAUUGAUCCCAAUGAUUACAUUUUCCCCAUUGCUUAUGCAGUGGUACUAAUAGAGAAUAAAGAUAAUUGGCAAUGGUUUCUUGAUCAAUUAAAGAAAACGUGGAGAUCUACAACAGUCAUCACUGGGCCUUUAUGUCUAAUAGACAGAAGGGACUGAUGGCAGUGAUUGCUGAAAUGUUUCCACUCUCAGAACAUAGGUUGUGUGUCAGACACAUUUACACCAAUUUCAGAGGGACUUUUAAGGGCAAGGAGUUGAAAGAUUUGUUAUGGAAUUCUACUAGGUCCACAUAUAGGCAGAAAUUGGACUAUUGAUUAGAUAAAAUUGAGGAAAAAAAUCCUGCUGCAAGGGAGUGGUUGAGAGAAAGGCCAUGUGGGCAUUGGUCUAGGGCUUGCUUUAGUAUAGUUCCUACGUGUGAUAUGUUAACCAACAACCUAUGUGAAUGUUUUAAUAGAUACAUUUUGGAUAGUAGGAAUAAAGCAAUCUUAACGAUGCUUGAGAUGAUAAGGACCAAGUUGAUGAUCAAGCUGUUUAAGAAAAGAGAGAUGAUGCAGAAAGUAAGUGGUGAAAUAUGUCCA
This 2038-nucleotide unclassified non-coding RNA is filed under the name Hevea brasiliensis (rubber tree). The record is from RNAcentral. Lineage: Eukaryota; Viridiplantae; Streptophyta; Magnoliopsida; Malpighiales; Euphorbiaceae.